This 252-nucleotide ribosomal RNA is filed under the name uncultured bacterium. RNAcentral's name for it is "partial 16S ribosomal RNA". It matches the Rfam family "Bacterial small subunit ribosomal RNA", at positions 57 to 305 of the family's 1533-position model. The record is from RNAcentral.
GCAAGUCGAACGGUAACAGGAUUGAUUUAUCAAUUGCUGACGAGUGGCGCACGGGUGCGUAACACGUAUGCAACCUACCCUUUACAGGAGGAUAGCCCAGAGAAAUCUGGAUUAAUACUCCAUAGUACCAUAAAGCCGCAUGGAUUAAUGGUUAAAGAUUUAUCGGUAAAGGAUGGGCAUGCGACCUAUUAGCUUGUUGGUAAGGUAACGGCUUCCAAGGCUUCGAUAGGUAGGGGGUCUGAGAGGAUGAUC